UCAGCAAUGGCAGUGGCGGACGGGUGAGUAACACGUAGGAAUCUAUCUUUGGGUGGGGGACAACCGUGGGAAACUACGGCUAAUACCGCAUGAUGCCUGAGGGCCAAAGGUCGCAAGACCGCCUGGAGAGGAGCCUGCGUCUGAUUAGCUUGUUGGUGGGGUAAAGGCUUACCAAGGCGACGAUCAGUAGCUGGUCUGAGAGGAUGAUCAGCCACAUUGGGACUGAGACACGGCCCGAACUCCUACGGGAGGCAGCAGUGGGGAAUAUUGGACAAUGGGGGCAACCCUGAUCCAGCAAUGCCGCGUGGGUG
This 311-nucleotide ribosomal RNA is filed under the name uncultured Gammaproteobacteria bacterium. Its description in RNAcentral is "bacterial SSU rRNA". It matches the Rfam family "Bacterial small subunit ribosomal RNA", at positions 83 to 407 of the family's 1533-position model. The record is from RNAcentral. Lineage: Bacteria; Pseudomonadati; Pseudomonadota; Gammaproteobacteria.